RNAcentral lists this ribosomal RNA (101 nucleotides) under Mycoacia gilvescens. RNAcentral describes it as "partial 5.8S ribosomal RNA". It matches the Rfam family "5.8S ribosomal RNA", at positions 57 to 154 of the family's 154-position model. From Rfam's summary of the family: 5.8S ribosomal RNA (5.8S rRNA) is a component of the large subunit of the eukaryotic ribosome. The record is from RNAcentral. Lineage: Eukaryota; Fungi; Basidiomycota; Agaricomycetes; Polyporales; Meruliaceae.
GAUAAGUAWUGUGAAUUGCAGAAUUCAGUGAAUCAUCGAAUCUUUGAACGCACCUUGCGCUCCUUGGUAUUCCGAGGAGCAUACCUGUUUGAGUGUCAUGG